CCCAAAAACAUAGCCAACUGCUAAAACAAUUAAAGUAUAGUUGGUGAAGCCUGCCCACUGAUUUAUGCUAAUAACAUAAGUUCAAGGGCCGCGGUAACUCUGACCGUGCUAAGGUAGCAUAAUCAAUUGCCACAUAAUUUGUGGCUAGUAUGAAAGGUUUUACAAGCUUUCCUCUGUCUCAAUUACACACUUAUCGAAAUUUAAAUAGCUGUGAAGAUUCAGCUUCUUUCUGGUAGGACGAGAAGACCCCGUUGAGCUUAACUUUAAGCCCUAGCAUUUUUAAUAUUAGAAAAAUAUGUGAUGUUAUUGGGCAGGUAAGUUUGGUUGGGGCGACCACCUAAAUAUAAGUAACUUAGGUAAGCUAAGGUUAAAUAUUAAUAUAGUAAGCUUGACUGUAGGACCUAUAGGUCUAUCAGAUAGUAAUACUAAGCUAUAGUGACCCUGUUAGUAUUCUAACAGCAAUUAGAUAAAAGUUACCACGGGGAUAACAGGGUUAUCUAGUAACAAAGUCCAUAUUGAAGACUAGGUUUGCCACCUCGAUGUUGAAUAGCAGUAUCCUAGGGGUGCAGCAGCUCCUGAUGGUUGGUCUGUUCGACCAUUAAA
RNAcentral lists this ribosomal RNA (603 nucleotides) under Chiropsalmus quadrumanus. Its description in RNAcentral is "partial 16S ribosomal RNA". It matches the Rfam family "Bacterial large subunit ribosomal RNA", at positions 1806 to 2592 of the family's 2925-position model. Lineage: Eukaryota; Metazoa; Cnidaria; Cubozoa; Chirodropida; Chiropsalmidae. The record is from RNAcentral.